RNAcentral lists this ribosomal RNA (690 nucleotides) under Heterosigma akashiwo. Its description in RNAcentral is "eukaryotic LSU rRNA". It matches the Rfam family "Eukaryotic large subunit ribosomal RNA", at positions 34 to 655 of the family's 3401-position model. The record is from RNAcentral. Lineage: Eukaryota; Raphidophyceae; Chattonellales; Chattonellaceae.
UUAAGCAUAUAAUUAAGGGGAGGAAAAGAAACCAACUCGGAUUCCCCUAGUAACGGCGAGUGAAGCGGGAAGAGCUCAUGUUGUAAAUCUCCAGCUUGCUGGCGAAUUGUAGUCUAAAGGUGCGUGCUCAGUCGUGGUCCCGGGCUAAGUCUGUUGGAAAACAGCAUCAUGGACGGUGACAAUCCGGUUCUUGCCUGGGGUCCCGCGGCGUACGAGCCGUUUCCGACGAGUCGUGUUGCUUGGGAUUGCAGCACUAAGUGGGUGGUAAAUUCCAUCUAAAGCUAAAUAUUGGUGGGAGACCGAUAGCGAACAAGUACCGUGAGGGAAAGAUGAAAAGACUUUUGAAAAGAGAGUAAAAUAGUACCUGAAACUGCUGAAAGGGAAGCGAUUGAAGUCAGUGUUGCUCCUGGUCUUUUUGCCGUCGCCCCCGUGGGGGUUGCGGCGUGGGGCCUGGAGCGUUUCAACAUGCGUUCUGUUCCGCGGGAAAUGUUCAGUGUGCUGGAACCUUCGGGGAAACGCACUGUUCUUGUCGUGGUUAGGACGGAGGACCUUUGCUCCUUUGACUGCGCGUUCCUCUCUCGGGUAUGCUGGUGUCUACUGCUUGCAGUUUUCAUUUUCAUGCUUGCGACUGUGCGUGUUAUUCAUGAGCGAACAUGAUGUUGAAGAAAUGGCUUUAAAUUACCCCGUCUU